This 400-nucleotide ribosomal RNA is filed under the name uncultured bacterium. RNAcentral describes it as "bacterial SSU rRNA". It matches the Rfam family "Bacterial small subunit ribosomal RNA", at positions 355 to 772 of the family's 1533-position model. The record is from RNAcentral.
UGGGGAACAUUGGACAAUGGGGGCAACCCUGAUCCAGCAAUGCCGCGUGAGUGAAGAAGGCCUUCGGGUUGUAAAGCUCUUUUAUCAGGGACGAUAAUGACGGUACCUGAGGAAUAAGCUCCGGCUAACUUCGUGCCAGCAGCCGCGGUAAUACGAAGGGAGCUAGCGUUGUUCGGAAUUACUGGGCGUAAAGGGCGCGUAGGCGGUUAAAUAUGUCAGAUGUGAAAGCCUUGGGCUUAACCUGAGAAUAGCAUUUGAUACUGUUUAACUAGAGGACGAGAGAGGAAAGUGGAAUUACGAGUGUAGAGGUGAAAUUCGUAGAUAUUCGUAAGAACACCAGUGGCGAAGGCGGCUUUCUGGCUCGUCUCUGACGCUAAGGCGCGAAAGCGUGGGGAGCAAA